Molecule: non-coding RNA, 104 nt
Organism: Dyadobacter psychrophilus
Lineage: Bacteria; Pseudomonadati; Bacteroidota; Cytophagia; Cytophagales; Spirosomataceae
Source: Rfam
UUGCACCUGGCAAAUCGGAACUACCAGCUCCUUCCGAAUCCCCCAGGUCCUGACGGAAGCAAGGGUAGGUGGUCGAUGCGGUGAGAUUCUCGGUUUGCCUUUUU